RNAcentral lists this ribosomal RNA (61 nucleotides) under Sporosarcina sp. P18a. RNAcentral's name for it is "partial 23S ribosomal RNA". Lineage: Bacteria; Bacillati; Bacillota; Bacilli; Caryophanales; Caryophanaceae. The record is from RNAcentral.
AGGUUAAGUUAGAAAGGGCGCACGGCGGAUGCCUUGGCACUAGGAGCCGAUGAAGGACGGC